Molecule: transfer RNA, 67 nt
Filed under: Laelia suffusa
Lineage: Eukaryota; Metazoa; Arthropoda; Insecta; Lepidoptera; Erebidae
Also listed under: 1 other name
Description: tRNA-Ala
Rfam family: tRNA
About the family: Transfer RNA (tRNA) molecules are approximately 80 nucleotides in length.
Source: RNAcentral
CAGGGUUAUAGUUUAUAAAAACAUUUGAUUUGCAUUCAAAAAAUAUUAAUUUAAUUAAUUUAUCUUA